AGUGAACGCUGGCGGUAGGCCUAACACAUGCAAGUCGAACGGCAGCACAGUAAGAGCUUGCUCUUACGGGUGGCGAGUGGCGGACGGGUGAGGAAUACAUCGGAAUCUACUUUUUCGCGGGGGAUAACGUAGGGAAACUUACGCUAAUACCGCAUACGACCUACGGGUGAAAGCAGGGGAUCUUCGGACCUUGCGCGAUUGAAUGAGCCGAUGUCGGAUUAGCUAGUUGGCGGGGUAAAGGCCCACCAAGGCGACGAUCCGUAGCUGGUCUGAGAGGAUGAUCAGCCACACUGGAACUGAGACACGGUCCAGACUCCUACGGGAGGCAGCAGUGGGGAAUAUUGGACAAUGGGCGCAAGCCUGAUCCAGCCAUACCGCGUGGGUUAAGAAGGCCUUCGGGUUGUAAAGCCCUUUUGUUGGGAAAGAAAAGCAGCAGGUUAAUACCCCGCUGUUCUGACGGUACCCAAAGAAUAAGCACCGGCUAACUUCGUG
This 492-nucleotide ribosomal RNA is filed under the name uncultured bacterium. RNAcentral's name for it is "partial 16S ribosomal RNA". It matches the Rfam family "Bacterial small subunit ribosomal RNA", at positions 29 to 507 of the family's 1533-position model. The record is from RNAcentral.